AUUUUGAUGGGUCUACUUCGAUGGCUUCACGUUUAAUCAUGACAUCUGAUGAACCAUCAUCAUUGCCUUCGCCGCUUCUUUGAGAUUUUGAUGGGUCUACUUCGAUGGCUUCACGUUUGAUCAUGCCAUCUGAUAAACCAUCGUCGUUGCCUUCGCCGCGUCUUUGAGAUUUUGAUGGAUCUACUUCGAUGGCUUCACGUUUAAUCAUGACAUCUGAUGAACCAUCAUCAUUGCCUUCGCCGCUUCUUUGAGAUUUUGAUGGGUCUACUUCAAUGGCUUCACGUUUGAUCAUGCCAUCUGAUGAACCAUCGUCGUUGCCUUCGCCGCUUCUUUGAGAUUUUGAUGGGUCUACUUCGAU
RNAcentral lists this long non-coding RNA (358 nucleotides) under Capsella rubella. Its description in RNAcentral is "long non-coding RNA (CRUB_LNC004338)". The record is from RNAcentral. Lineage: Eukaryota; Viridiplantae; Streptophyta; Magnoliopsida; Brassicales; Brassicaceae.